UGCCGGCGACCGGCGACGGGUGCGUAACGCGUAUGUAACCUACCUUUGACAGGGGGAUAACGAUCGAGAAAUUGGUACUAAUACCCCAUAACAUCACCGGAGGCAUCUUCGGUGGUUGAAAACUCAGGUGGUCAGAGAUGGACAUGCGUUGUAUUAGCUAGUUGGUGAGGUAACGGCUCACCAAGGCGACGAUACAUAGGGGGACUGAGAGGUCAACCCCCCACAUUGGUACUGAGACACGGACCAAACUCCUACGGGAGGCAGCAG
This 267-nucleotide ribosomal RNA is filed under the name uncultured bacterium. Its description in RNAcentral is "partial 16S ribosomal RNA". It matches the Rfam family "Bacterial small subunit ribosomal RNA", at positions 86 to 354 of the family's 1533-position model. The record is from RNAcentral.